AUGAACACAGGCAAAAGCACAGAGGCUGCUGCUCACAGGGGCAGCCCUCACCCACCCUACGUGCCACCUCUGAAGCCAGCUCUGUGCUUAAUAGAGCAGCAGCCCAACAGCUGGAACGGCCACAGAACAGCCACGGAACAGCCUCCUGCUGCCUCUGAGCACCGUGCAAAGCACCUAAGCUGCCUCCUCUGCACAGCCAAGACACACUGUGAGCCUUCAAACUCCAUUCCUUGCUGCUGGAGGUUGAUCACAGCCAACAGACCUCACCUACAGCCAUCAGUACCUACCAGGCAGCCCAACGCCAGAACACAACACUCCCAAAGCCAAUUGUGGCACAGCUCAGCUCCCACAGCUCACUGUGCACCAACACUUCACAGGGGGAUUGACACCUCCUCAGUCUACAACCCUGACCCUUCCCAGCCCCAUACCCACAGCGUGCCAAGCCAGGAUGGCUGCAUAACAACACCGCAGCUUCUCCCAUUCCCCACGCCAAGCCAACACGAGCAGCACAGCACACACAGGACCCAGCACAGCAGCAACAGAGCUGUCAUUACAGGUGUGUCAUGGCACUCAAUGCAGGGCCGCACUCACACCCCGCCUGCCACUCAAUGCAGGCCGCACUCACACCCCGGCUUGCACUCAAUGCAGGGCCUGCACUCACACACCCGCUGCACUCAAUGCAGGGCCGCACUCACACCCCGCUGCACUCAAUGCAGGGCCGCACUCACACCCCGCUGCACUCAAUGCAGGGCCGCACUCACACCCCGCCGUGCUCUAUCUAUCCACGUGUUCCUCCUCCCGCCGCCAGGGGGCGCUGUUCCCGCCACGCGCCCGGCCGCCUUUCAAACCGCGCGCCACUCUCCUCGUCCUCUCAUUGGCCGCCCGCCAACGCGCCGGCUCGGCGCCUCGAGGCCAGCUGGGAAAUGUAGUCCCGUGCGGACUGCAAUUCCCAUGGUGCAUCGCGGGCGGUGCCGCACGUGGUGUCGCCCCGCUGCUCGCUGUUGCCGGGGGCGGCGCUGGGCUCCGAGCCGAGCGGGUGGGGCGGGACCCCCCGACCGCAACCAGGGGCUGAGAGCGGCACCGGGACGGGAACGACGGGGGGUCACCUUGUAUUGCGACCCCACGGAAUGA
This 1131-nucleotide long non-coding RNA is filed under the name Coturnix japonica (Japanese quail). Its description in RNAcentral is "lncRNA (ENSCJPG00005013716.1)". Lineage: Eukaryota; Metazoa; Chordata; Aves; Galliformes; Phasianidae. The record is from RNAcentral.